Molecule: long non-coding RNA, 590 nt
Organism: Pomacea canaliculata
Lineage: Eukaryota; Metazoa; Mollusca; Gastropoda; Architaenioglossa; Ampullariidae
Exons: 4
Source: RefSeq, a predicted model, not a curated record
AUUUAGUCUGUGAUGAGACUAUCCCUCAUUGUUGGCUGUGACAGCGACAUUGUUCACGUGAUCACGUCCACGUCACGUCCACACAAUGACGACUACCACACUGUCCACAGUCAUGCUGCUGAUGCUGUUGGUGGCACUGGCCCUGGGGAGUGUGCUCGCUGGUCCAGAUUUAUCGAAAUACCCUUGGCAUUUUAACUGUGAAGAACCCAGAUGGUGUUAUGCUGAUUUGGGUCCUCGCUGCAUCAAGGGCCGGGACACUCCCGUGUAUGGACAUUGUGAGUUACAGGACGCCCUAUGCAAUGGCGAGGAGUGGGACCUCACAAACAGCUGCUUGAGCAACAUUGGGUCACAUGUGAAUUACCCGCGGAUCAGCUCACCUGAUUCCGAGACCUCCGACCCUGGUGUGUGAAGUCAUUGUCCAGGAGGCCACUUGUGACGAAAACGCCGUUAUUGAUACCAGUGAUAGCUGCUUGCAGUGAGACAAGUCUCCUUCUUCGUGAAACGUUUGCACUUCAUUGUUUAUUAUCCUUACUAACAUGUGACCUUUGUACUCUUUGGACUAAUAAAGUGCAGUAAAAAAUAUCUAAGCU